RNAcentral lists this ribosomal RNA (428 nucleotides) under uncultured Peptococcus sp. Its description in RNAcentral is "bacterial SSU rRNA". It matches the Rfam family "Bacterial small subunit ribosomal RNA", at positions 355 to 794 of the family's 1533-position model. The record is from RNAcentral. Lineage: Bacteria; Bacillati; Bacillota; Clostridia; Eubacteriales; Peptococcaceae.
UGGGGAAUAUUGGGGCAAUGGGGCGCAAGCCUGACCCAGCAACGCCGCGUGAAGGAAGAAGGCCUUCGGGUUGUAAACUUCUGUUGUAGAGGACGAAGAAAGUGACUGUACUCUACGAGGAAGCCCCGGCUAACUAUGUGCCAGCAGCCGCGGUAAUACAUAGGGGGCGAAGCGUUGUCCGGAAUCACUGGGCGUAAAGGGAGCGUAGGCGGAUGUUUAAGUUAAGUGUGAAAGCCUGGGGCUUAACUCCAGAAAUGCACUUAAUACUGGAUAUCUAGAGUGUGGGAGAGGUAAGUGGAAUUCCUAGUGUAGCGGUAAAAUGCGUAGAGAUUAGGAGGAACACCAGAGGCGAAGGCGGCUUACUGGACCACAACUGACGCUGAGGCUCGAAAGCGUGGGGAGCAAACAGGAUUAGAUACCCUGGUAGU